Molecule: ribosomal RNA, 376 nt
Filed under: uncultured bacterium
Lineage: Bacteria
Description: partial 16S ribosomal RNA
Rfam family: Bacterial small subunit ribosomal RNA
Source: RNAcentral
AACGAACGCUGGCGGCAGGCCUAACACAUGCAAGUCGAGCGGAUGUAGCAAUACAUCAGCGGCGCACGGGUGAGUAACGCGUGGGAACCUGCCCUUUGGUACGGAACAACCCUGGGAAACUAGGGCUAAUACCGAAUACGCCUCGAGAGAGGGAAAGAUUUAUCGCCGAAGGAGGGGCCCGCGUCCGAUUAGCUAGUUGGUGGGGUAAAGGCCUACCAAGGCUACGAUCGGUAGCCGGUCUGAGAGGACGAUCGGCCACACUGGGACUGAGACACGGCCCAGACUCCUACGGGAGGCAGCAGUGGGGAAUAUUGGACAAUGGGCGAAAGCCUGAUCCAGCCAUGCCGCGUGAGUGAAGAAGGCCUUAGGGUCUAGU